GUAGGUGAGACAGCAGGUAGACAACGCUCUUAAACAUUUUUACUUCUUUUCACUUUUGGCUUUUCCAUGGCAGUGAACAACAUAGAAGAACAUAACAGGUGCAUAUAUGUAUAUAUACAUUAAAGUAAAUUAGGUGGAUUUACUUUUUCACAUCUAAGCAAAGGGGCAUUUAGGGAAAAGUUGUACAAAACUAUGUAUGCUAUGUUUAUUUGCCUAUAAUUUCAUUUACACAUCAUCAUAAGCCUAAACCUUUCGUUUGUCACUAGAACUUGAGUGUUGAAAAUAGUUCCUUAAUUAUUCUGGGCACCGUGAACAUUUCUUACAAUCAGAUUAUUUCCUCCCAGCAUAGAAUAUAGCUAAACAUGUAUAAUAUGUAAUAUAAAUAUGAUAAGCAGUGUCACUAGAGCUCAUCUUUGAUUAAGAAUUUAUUUUACUCUCCUCUUAACAAGGAUUGACUGGAUCACAGGCCAUUUCAUUUAGGAGGCUGUAUGUGAGAGCUUUGUUGAUUUUUAAUUUUCCUCCAUUGAUUUUCUGCAUCCAGAGAGCACUUGUUCUCUAAUGGCUCUCUGUGUUGGUGUUUGCUUGCAAAUUGAAGUAAAAGAUAAAUGGCUUUCAGGGUAAUACCUCUCCAAGGGCUUCCACUUGAGGGUUGGUGGCUGUUAGUAGAGCUGCAGUGUGUUCAGAAAAGUUCUGUGCUCAGAGAAAGACAUUCCUGAGUUGCAACAUGGUGAAAUUAGCUUAUUCCUUGCCCUGGUGUGACAACAGUUAUCAAGGUCUAAGAAACUAAAGACUUAGUCUGGAAUGAAGAGGAGCUGCAGAUCCUGGGAUCCUUUCUCAGUUCUUUGCUCAGUCACUCUGUCUUCCAGAUGGAUGUUAAGGACAGUAUUUCUUUUAGUCCCCAGCCAUGCAGUGCCUGGCAUCGGUAGGAAUUCAAAAACUGGAAGAAUGGAGAUCUGAAUUUCAGUGCAGCUUUCAGGGUGACCUCUGCUGAGAUGAAAGGACUAAAACCGCUGUGAAUUUUCCUGUUCCUGGAGCAACAUCUUCAGCAAUGAUGGGCAGGCAAUUCAAUGCUCUGAAAGCAAUUGCACACUCCUGAAAAUAAUCCAAAAUAGUCCUGACCAGGCCUGGCAGAGUUCUUAGUUUUCUCUGCCCUUCCUGUAUUGCUUAUGAAUCAGAGCAUCAAUGUUAAAUUGUAAAAUGCAGGAAUAUAUGUAAUGACCAUAUUAGUUUUACAGACUGAUAAAAGGUGUCUUAUUUUUUUCUUGAGGAAUUAAAGGGGUACUGUAAUGUAUUUACAUUCCUGCUUGUCUGUUCAGUGGGGGCUCCUCCAGAAGAGCUUGAAUCUGGGGCUCUGUUUCUUCACUGCCUUGCUUAGUGUCAUUUAAACAUGCAAAGUAGUUUAAAGUGCUGCCAAUAGUGAGGGCUGGAUUUAAGCUUCUGUUACGAGAAGCAAUAGGAGAAGGUUGUAAGCAAAAUUAGACUGUUUCACAAUCCAUAGGUUAAUCCAAGUGCUUUGAAAUGAGUGUGUUGUGUGUGUCUGUUUAUCAGCAAGAGAUUCUGUAGGAGAGUUUUCAUGGAAAUGAGCAAGGGUACUAUUAGGGAAUGGUCCUGGAAUAAGAAACAGGUUGAUAAAAUAAUGAAUGUUUUCCAUAAUAGUUCUUUUUAAUAAGAUGCCUAACAAGGGAGUUGAGGGAGGGCAUUGGAGUGGUCUGAAACUGAAAAUCAAGCAUUUUUAUGGAAAUAGCCUCAUUAGAGCUGCCUGUUAAAGAAGUGCAACUGUUUUUCUAUGAACAGGAUAUUCAUUCAAUGAUUGAAAUAUGGUUCUUAAAAAAUACAUCCUGUCAGUUUUA
This is a non-coding RNA of Anas platyrhynchos (mallard), 1850 nucleotides long. NCBI's taxonomy places the organism in Eukaryota, Metazoa, Chordata, Aves, Anseriformes, Anatidae. The record is from RefSeq and is a predicted model, not a curated record.